GCGCCAGACAAUCGCUCUUUAAUUAAAAAGGGAGGAAAGUCCGAACACUCAUCUGCCGUAAGGCGGAUAGCAUGGUAGUGGGUAACGCCCACACAUUCCCCGAUACAAGGAAUGAGCGCUGCGAACAGAAACGCCGGAGGCGAAAGCCAAAGGCCCCUGAAUGAUUUCAUUUGGGGUGAUUCCUAUCGUAAGACAGGAAUGCAACGGCUAAAUGCGUACCAGAGUGCAAGGCCGUGUUUCGUCGCAAGACGAAAAGUGCCGCUCGAGUCGUACAGUAAUGUACGACCCAGAUAAAUGAUUGUCUGCACCUUCGGUGCAACAGAAUUCGGCUUAUCGGCGCAAAU
Molecule: RNase P RNA, 344 nt
Filed under: Minisyncoccota bacterium
Lineage: Bacteria; Bacillati; Minisyncoccota
Description: RNase P RNA component class A
Rfam family: Bacterial RNase P class A
About the family: Ribonuclease P (RNase P) is a ubiquitous endoribonuclease, found in archaea, bacteria and eukarya as well as chloroplasts and mitochondria. Its best characterised activity is the generation of mature 5'-ends of tRNAs by cleaving the 5'-leader elements of precursor-tRNAs.
Source: RNAcentral